This 429-nucleotide ribosomal RNA is filed under the name uncultured bacterium. RNAcentral's name for it is "bacterial SSU rRNA". It matches the Rfam family "Bacterial small subunit ribosomal RNA", at positions 355 to 776 of the family's 1533-position model. The record is from RNAcentral.
UGGGGAAUAUUGGACAAUGGGCGCAAGCCUGAUCCAGCCAUACCGCGUGUGUGAAGAAGGCCCUAGGGUUGUAAAGCACUUUAAGUUGGGAAGAAAAGUUAUUGGUUAAUACCCAAUGACCGUGACAUUACCUUCAGAAUAAGGACCGGCUAAUUCCGUGCCAGCAGCCGCGGUAAUACGGAAGGUCCAAGCGUUAAUCGGAAUUACUGGGCGUAAAGCGCGCGUAGGUGGUUUAUUAAGUUGGAUGUGAAAUCCCCGGGCUCAACCUGGGAACUGCAUCCAAAACUGAUUCACUAGAGUACGAUAGAGGGAGGUAGAAUUCACAGUGUAGCGGUGGAAUGCGUAGAUAUUGUGAAGAAUACCAAUGGCGAAGGCAGCCUCCUGGAUCUGUACUGACACUGAGGUGCGAAAGCGUGGGUAGCGAACAGG